AUAUCUCUCCGUACGGGAAGGAUGAGAAGCUUCGACUAAGGUUCGAUUCGAGCGUCAGCGAGAAAGCGUUGCCGCAGGCAACGACCCGAAGGGCGAAGCGCGCAGCGCUGAGUCAUCCUUCCCCCACC
This 128-nucleotide small RNA is filed under the name Salmonella enterica subsp. enterica serovar Stanleyville. Its description in RNAcentral is "partial RtT sRNA". It matches the Rfam family "RtT RNA". Rfam says of the family: This family represents a bacterial cis-regulatory element known as RtT RNA. The exact function of RtT is unknown although it is thought that it may be involved in changing the cellular response in relation to amino acid starvation. Lineage: Bacteria; Pseudomonadati; Pseudomonadota; Gammaproteobacteria; Enterobacterales; Enterobacteriaceae. The record is from RNAcentral.